Non-coding RNA from Chrysemys picta bellii (western painted turtle), 1558 nucleotides. The record is from RefSeq and is a predicted model, not a curated record. Lineage: Eukaryota; Metazoa; Chordata; Testudines; Emydidae.
UGGAACUGCAAUUUGUACAUCGCCCUGAAUUCACAUGGGACUUGCUCUCCCUCCACAUGCAGUUUCCUUAUUUGCCAGUACACUAUAAACCAGUUUUGCUUUGUAUUCUCAAUGUACUAUGCAUACGGCAGGGCCUCAGUAUGAAGCAGGAUUGCUUGAGUUCUUGUAAAUGAUAUGACAGGAAUGCUGUGUGGAAGCCAAAGGCAAAUAUCUAACAGGCCAUUAGGACUAAUGGUCAACAACUUGUCAAACACUGGCACCUGCAGUCUAACAAGCUGCAUUGCUUCAGUCCGUGAACCUACCUGUUUCCUGCCCGGAAUACCAGCGGUAGGAGGCAAAGCUGUUCAGUCACUCAGAGAGCACAGAGCUGGCAAAGCCCUGUCAGAUGUUGGAGGUUUUGAAAGACAGUGUGUUUGUGAAAGACAAUGGUGUUUGUGGAAUUGCUUCUCUCUUGCUCUCGGAGGCCCAUUGACAGCUGAACAAGAGGAGGGUUUGCUUUUGUCACGGUGCUCAAGAGCCUAUUUGCUACAAUAAGAAUAGCUGGCACAUCUGCAGUGCCCUACAGCUGAGGGCCUUGAUGCCUUUUGAAAACACUGAUUAAUGAAACUUCAACACCCCUCUGAAGCCUCAGUCAAUGCAGUUCCCUUUGGUACCCCUGUUGCAGAGAUAGCAGCAGUGUUCCUGCAGUAUCCACAGCUAUGCUGCCACUUCAAGGCCUGACAUUUAAAGACAGCCUGAGAAAUUCCCCAAAGGCGUGAGGGUAGGUAGGUAUGCACAGGACUCUUUCCUUCUAGUUCUCUGUGCUGACCACUAGAGACCCUCCUAGAGGAAUCCUCGGACACUUCUGCAGGGUACAUAGAAUCUUUGAUCUUUCACUGUCAAAUGUAUGGGUCAAAUUCUGCUCUCAAUUACACCAAUAUAAAUCUGGAGUAAUUCCAUUGGGACAGAUCCUCAUUCACUCCUGGUUUAGAGCAGCUAAAGAAGAGCAGAGUUGGGCCUUCUCUGGAAAGGUACUGAGGAUAUGUGGGGAGAGUGACAGGAAACAAUGAUGUUUCUCAUUAAGAUGACCUAGUUCCUCAUGAUUUCUAAGCACAGCACUUAUUCUACAAACCAGACCAGGGUAAUUCUAUUUGUCUUUUUUCAUUGUUCUGUGAUUAGAUUGUACAUUUUAUAAUCCAUUACAUGCUGGCAUCUGAACAGGAACUACAGUGUCACUUGUAUUAACAGUUAGCAGCUGUCUCUCUCAUUUGCCAUAUGCAUACACUUUAAAUCUGUGUCAGAGCAUUCACCACAAUCACACCAAGGUUACUGAAUUAUCAGAGAGCCAAAUGUCCAGUGUUGCAUUGUGACCAUUUGCUCACCCUAAAUUUGUUGACAGGUAGUCUUGGCUUUCUUCUACAUUGCACAGUGUGAAAGGGCUCAGGAAUCCUUAAUGCUCUGUGUCCUAUGUAACUAGUAGGUUACUGCUCUUUGAAUCCUCUAGUGACCCAUGGUAAUUAUCACCUGACAGGUGUUAGGAGAUCAAUGUGAGAUGAUUCUCCAGUCCUGUUCCUAGCAG